UGGCUUACAGUUCCAAGGUUUAGUCCAUUAUCAUCAUGGCAGGAGCAUGAUGGUUCACACACAGACAUGGUGCUGGAGAAGAAGUCUAGGGGCCUGACAUGAGCACCCUAAAUCUCAGAGCCUGCCCCCAGUGACAAAGUAAUACCCCCUAAUAGCAAUACACCCUAUGAGCGUAUGGGGGCCAUUUUCUUUCAAAUAACCACUUUCUUCCUUCCUUCCUUCCUUCCUUCCUUCCUUCCUCCCUCCCUUCCUUCCUGUCUUCCUUCCUUCCUUCCUUUCCUUCUUUAAGACAGGGUCUCUCUGUGUAGUCCAGGAUGUACUGGAACUUGCUAUGUAGACCAGGCUGGCCUCAACCUCACAGAGAUCCCCUUGCCUCUGUCUCCUGUGCGCUGGGAUUAAAGGUGAGUGUCACAGUGCACAACGAUGCAAUGUUCUUAAUGGACCAGUCAGGCUGAAACACUGACCUUUGAAACAAUGAAAGAACAAGCAUUGUUCUAGUUAUUAUUAACUGUGAACUUGACACGGUCUAGAAGACCUCAAAAAAAGUCUCUGAACUGAGUAAUUAGGUUUAUAAAGUUGGUUUGUGGACAUGUACUUUAAAGUUUGUUUUCAUUAUCUUAAUUGAGAUAGGAGAGCUCAGCCCAUGUGGGUGGCACCAUUCCCUGGGCAGGUGAUCCUGGGCUGUACAAGGAAGCCAGUUGAUCAUGACCGAGAAAAUCAAUUGUCCAAGGUUCUUCCCUCCAAAUUCUUUCCUGCCCUGACUUCAUUCAAUGAUGGACAUGACCUAGACAGUGAAACCAAACACACCCUUCUUCCCUAGGCUGAUUUUGGUCAGAGUGAUUUAUCGCAGCAACAGAAAGGAAACCAGGACACAUUUGUUUAAAAAGAAGUUAGAGUGAGGUGAAAGGGAAAUAGGCCAUUAAUCAGGAUUCCAUGCAAGUUAAAAAAAAAUAGAACUGACUGUGCUUUAAAAUAAUUCUUCCACACCAAUUAUUUUACAUACCAUGUAUUUAAACACACACAGAUAAACAAUAUAUAGGUUCAACGACACUCUUUUAAGUACAUCUGAUUUUCUUCAGGGCUGGGACUGAAUCCAGGACCUCACAUAUGGGGAGCAAGCACUCUGCCAACCUACAAAACAACCCACCAGUAACAACAACAAAAAUCCUUUAUAUCAUGAAAAUGAAAAGCUAAAAGUAAAACAUCAAUUCCAGUGGAACAUAAGGCACAUAUUUUAAAGCAGAACACCAUUAUGAUUGUCUGCUUUUAAUUGGUAAUUUUCAAAGUGAAAAAAACUGGUCCAACAAACCUAACUGACUGAGGCUCACUGACCUUCCAUAACUAGGGCACAGAGCGCCCCCUACUGGGUCUUCCUGACUGAAUCCAAAAGCUCAUUCUAUUGACUUAGACUUGAGUUUAACACCAAUAUUUGAAACUUUAAGGGCUUUGACAACUCAUCGAUGUAUAGGUACUUGUUUCUUGUUCCCAUAUUCAUCUUGCAAUGCUCCAUUAAGAGUUAGAAACCUUCCUGAAAAAACCUCCAGUAAACAGCGAAAUCUCAAUAACAGCAGUCACAAUCGCUACAGUGAACAUCUGCAUUAGUGGCCACACAGAGACUCUCAAAAUAAUGUUUUGAUGUGUAAUUCACACACCAUAAAUUUAAAAGUUUCCAGCAAGGCAUUUUUCUAUACUUCAAGCUUACCUUGAGCUUGGAAUCUUCCCAACCCAACCUUUUCAGUGUUAGAUUUACAAAACUCUCCCAGCUAUCCCAGUUUAUUUUUCUUUAAAAAUGUAUUUUGAAGGCCAGGCAUUGAAGUGGAAAUUUCUUGUUUCAUUAGAGACUCUUUGGGGUUUUCUUGAAACUCUCUUUUUUUUGUUUUAAUAUAAGUGCAGUCUUGCUCUCUUCAUACAUACCAGAAGAGGGCAUCCUAUCCCAUUGCAGAUGGUUGUGAGCCACUAUGGGGUUGCUAGGAAUCGAACUGAGGACCUCUUAAAGAGCAGGCAGGCCUCUUAACUGCUGAGCCACCUCCCCAGCUCAUUCUGGAAAGUCUUUUCUGAAAAUAUUUGUUGCUGAGAACCGCCAUGAAUGUUUUCUGGAAGCAAUCUGGUGAAAGGGCAUGUGAUGUUUUUCUGGAGCGAAUGCUUGAGAGAACAUGUGAUAUCUGGAAAGAGUAUGAGUGGAAACCAACAGACAGCAGACGAUGCUUUUGCACUGGUUCACCUUGCAGCUCACUGCUGGUCUUCCUUGGGCUUCUCUGACGCUGGUCUUCCCUGAGGUCGCUCUUGCCUUGGUUCAUUGCUUUCUUCAUUUGUCCUGACUCUGAGAGAGAAAUGCAUCAAUGAACGUCUGGUGGUGUUCCAGCUGCUUCUGCUGACUCCUGCUGAUUGGUUGGUUGGUGGAGCCUGGAGGUUUCUUCUGGAAGGAGCCACUGUGACUGAUUUGUGUUUGGUGUUUGCUGAGUGGACUGGACUGCUGCUGACUGUGAAGAUUGGAAUCACCCCAAAGACUAUUUCUAAACAGAUCCAUAAACCCCGUUUCCCAUUAACCUUUCUUUUCCCCUACCUCUGGUGGGUAGUGAGCUAGAAGGGAGGGUGAAGCAUUAAAAAACCACAAUUAAAGUAGGUUUUGAAAAAACCCUAAGUCUAUAAGGCAUGGUGGCUCAUGUCUUCAGUCUCAGCACUCAAGAAGCAGAGGCAGUUGAAUCCCUGUGAGUUCAAGACAAGCCUAGUCUACAUAAGGAGUUCUAGGAUAGCCAUACUAGACUAGAUUACAUAGAGCCCUUGUCUUAUCAAAGAAAAGUAAUACUAAUUAGCAAAGUAACUUAAUGAAUUUUGACGAAUAUACUGAAUAUUUACGUAAGUUACUAUUGCUGUCUAAGGUGCCUAGAAAGUGCUUUUCCUAUAAAGUAGUCACUCGUAUUUCAAGCUCCCAAGGUACCAAAAGCCUGGCGUCUCUACCUUCAUCUAUGUUUCUCUCCAUUACUCUGCAUACUACAUCAUCACAUGCUUUAACUCAGCGUGAGCUCUGCUAAGUAUUAAAGAAAUAUGUGUUUAAAGACCAAGGCUAGAUACCCUGUUUCCAACAGUUCAAGACACAGAGGUAUCUUAUCACAGCUUUCAUGAUGCCCUGUUCUGGGACUCUGAAUGUCUCCAGACACAGUGUUAAAUCUGUAAUGAGUCUUAAUUGCAGGAACUGCAGUGCCUCAAAGACAGUGGGAACUUCUGCUUGUCAUACGGAAGCAGAGCUCAGAUAAUGGUCAACAGACCACAGAGAUAAGGACCAACCAGGCCGCACAGAGACCAAGCCUGCUUAGUCAUGCUUUUGAAACCCAUCCCCUAUAUAAGCCCAAAGCUCAUAGCAGUGCCCCGAUGAUGGACUUGUAGACACUGAGCCUCUUUAUCUGCACCUCCAAACAUACCACAUUGCUCAAUUCUUCUCUGCCUGUCAGUACUUUGUGUCUCUGUGAUUGGUGUGGUGUGCCAGGUGGUUGAGCCUAGUUGCUUGGGAUUCCCAGAGCUCCUGCCAUCACCACAGUGGUUUUGAUUGCAUUCCUCUAACUAAUAGUGCUGAGCGUGCUUUAUGUACUCUUGUGCUCAUCCUCUCCCAGGCAGCCUUCUCUCAGAUGAGCAGCGAUCCAAUGUGAGUUCUGCCUCCUCCCUGUGAGAGCCAAACUCAAAUUUCCCCUCUGAUUUGUCUCCCAGACUCUGCCAAUCAGACAGAUGAAUGUGGUGUCUGGAGAAGAAGCAGUUUAGUGUUCCUGCAGUGUCAAGGUCAAGUUUUCCUCACAAGUGGAAUAAAAACAUAAGUAUGAGUAUUUGUCCCAGUGUUCAGGGAUGCAAGAGCGGUUUCUUAGAGAAAACAAUGUAAAGCCUUUUAGAAUCAGUCUCAAAAAUAAAAUAUACAGCAUUAUUUGAAAUAACAAUUAUUAUUAUUAAGUAAUAAUUACUUAAAUAAUAUGUAUAAUAAUUAUUCUAAGAAAUAGUUAUUAUUUUUUAAAAGAUUUAUUCAUUAUGUGUAAAUACCUUGUAGCUGUCUUCACCACCUCUUCAGACACACCAGAAGAGAGCAUCAGAUCUCAUUACAGAUGGUUGUUGGCCACCAAGUGGUUGUUGGGAUCUGAACUCAGGAUCCUUGGAAGAGCAGUCAGUGCUCUUAACCAGUGAGCCAAAUCUCCAGCCCCAGAUAUUUAAUAUUUAUAAAUGUAAUAGUAGUAAUACAUUAUUAUUAUUGGCAGGGUCUCACUAUGUAGCCCUGUCUGGCCUGGAACUCACCGAAAUUCACCUCCAUCUGUCUCUCAAGGGCUAGGAUUCAAGGCAUCAACAGGACUAACAGCAGUUCUUUGUGACACUUAAUAGCUACUUGAUCAGAUCCUUUGUGUUAUAUCAUUAUUUUGGAAGAAGGGAACAGAUUUAUUUUGCUUAGCUCAAGACUGAAAUUCUAGAAUAUAUGUCAAGUCCUUAUAGGAAAACACCUACCAGGAAUCUACCUGAAGUGAUAAUAGAGUGAACAGAUUUAAUGGAAACACUGUGAAAACUGUCAAAGAUAGAGCUUUUCUCUCUGGACGUCAUUCUAAAUUAAAAGCAUCAAAAUGACAACCUAUGGUCAUUCUUGGCCAAACACUGGUCAAAAUGUUCUCUGCAAUUACAGAAACGACCUUGUCAUUUCAGUCACAAUCACCAACAAUGUUUUCUACCAAUACCUAAUGUGACUGAUUAGAAGAUGUUAGCAUUUUGAAAACCUUUUCUUAGCUACCUUGUGAGUGUGAAACCGUAUCACUCAAUAUUUAGUAGCAGGCAGUGUUAAUGGAUGGGAUUUUAAGGUUUUUAUUGGAUGAAAUAUGGCAAUAUACGGAAAACCUGUAUAAACCAAAGAACGAGUAUUUUCCAGAAGACUUAUACAAGCUGCUCAAGAAAUAGCUUAGCAGUUAAGAGCACUAACUGCUCAUCUGGAGGACCAGGGUUCAAUUCCUGGCACCCAGCUUGUGGUUCACAAACAUCUCUAAUUCUACUUCAAGGGGACCCAAUGCCCUCCUCUGGCCUUAUGUGUACUGUAUACAUAUGGUGCAUAGAUACAUAUAAAGGCAAAAACACUUAUGUACAAAACUAAUAAAUAUACAUAUAUAUUAUAGCUUUUUAAAAGAUCAUUACAAAUUUAAGAAUGUUAAAAUUGUGAAUACCCUUUAAGUGUGAGUCACUUUGAAUGGAAACUAUAACCAGGACAGCAAGGUCACUGAUACGGUUUUAUAACUGGCCUGGUAAUUGACAUUAACAAACUCUCAUUCUUAAAUAAAAAUGUUCUGAAACUCUAUUUUUCCCUUUCAUAAGGGUUUUUUUUUAUUCCAUUUUGUGAUUUUUAAUGAUAUAUAUGUUUGCAAGUCUCUGUGUGGGUAUGUACAUGCAAGUGCUGGUGCUCCCAAAGGCCAGAGGAACUGGGGUGCCUUGUAACUGGACUGAUAGGUGGUUGUGAGCAAUUGUCAUGGGUACCGGGAAAUGACCUCCGAUCUCCUGCAAGAGCAGCAUGGCUUUUUUUUGCUGAGCCAUCAUCUUUCCAGUUUCCUUCUUUGCUUUUUGAGUCGGGGUUUUUAUUAUGUAGAUAAGUCUGGCUCAGUCCAUGUUCUAAAAGAACCUCUCUAUUAGCUUGUUAUGAAAUAGUAUGAGUUAGAUGUUAGAUUACCAUAUUUUCUAAUGACUUACAUAUUUUUAUUUUAUGUGCAUUAGUGUUUUGCCUGCAUUGGACAUCUUUGACAGAGUGGGACUUGUACCCUGGUACUGAAUUUCAGACAGUCGUGAGAUGUCAUGUGUGAGGUGGGUAUUGAUCUUAACUGCUGAGGCAUCUCUCCAGGCCAGAUCAUGAUUCCUAAUAUUACCACAAUUUAAAUAGCCUAAGGUCUAAUCGCAUAAUUUUGCUAGUAGACUAAGAAAUUGUGAUUACCUUCAUAAAAGUGGGUAUAGGUUUUUGGGCUUUUAAACUUAAAAGCCUAGUCUUGUUUAUUUUAUGUGCCCCUUCGUGUGUGUGUGUCUGUGUGUGUGUGUGUGUGUGUGUGUGUGUGUGUGUGUGUACACAUAUGCCAUGGCUCUAAGGUGGAGGCAGAGGACAGCUUAUUGGAGACAGUCCUUUACUUCAACUAUGUAAAUUCCGAGGUCAAAUUCAGAAGAGACUUGGUUUCAGGGGUCUUUACCGAACUAUCCAACUAUCUUUCCAGCCUAGCUUUCUCCUCUUAGUAUCUUAUUUGCUAUUUAACUGCCUAAAACAGAAUGGAACCAACCCUCCGUAAGAUUUGGUGCCAUAGGUUCUUCAGCUGUCUUGAGGGCAACAUUCACAGCCCAUUUCCCUUUUGAAAUAGGACCUUUCUGUCAUCUCCCACACCACUUUAAACAUAAAGAUCCUUUCAACAUUUCCCAUGAGAGCCAUCCCAGCCUCACCACAAACGUCAGGGCUCCCACAUCUCUCUGCUUUUGCAUCAUGCCUCAUAUGCCCUCUGCCCUAGGUGAGACUCCAAGUGGGUGCUGAGAGGAGAACACAGGUCCUUUGCUAGAACAGUUGCUCUUAUCCACGAAGCCAACUCUCCAUCUGCCUCGCACACUAGGGUCUGCACCUUCCACCUCCCAGUGGGGGACCUCAAUUCUGACCCCUGAACCUCAGCGAGUUUCAGGGACCCAGCUGGGUGGGUGGGAAUGUGGUUCGCUGGGGAGGUAUCCAUCCUUUUGCUCAUCUCCUUCCGGGAGGAGUCCGGAAGCAGCACCUACAGCUCCGCCCUCCACAGCCUCAGCCAAGAGCCACCCGCCUUGGCAAAAUGACAAAACCUUGGGCACCGGACACAAGCAGGGAGCACUACCCUGGCAGUUCUAAGCCCCGCCCAAGCUGACCACGAAACACCUGGGAUCCGCCUCUCGCACGUUUUUAAUUUUUUCCCUUAAGAUUUUGCUCCACUCCCAAGCAGCAAGCCCCGCCCUCAUCCUAUUUCUCCAGGUCCGGGCUCCGCCUUCGGCGCUCCUAAGUUCCGCCCUCAUUCUGUUGCUCUACACUCGGACUCUGCCUCUCGCGCUCCGAACCCCGCCCUCAUCCUAACUGCCCAAUAUCUGUCCUCCGCUUGCUAAUCUUCUAAGCCCCGCCCUCAUCCUAAUUACUACAAACCUGGGCUCCGCCUUCAUGGUUUCUAAGAUCCGCCCUCAUUUCUGUUGCUUCUCUCCGGGGCUCCGCCUCUCGCCAGCCCAGCCCCGCUCUACACACAGGGUUCUGCCUUCUGUGCCCCUAAGCUCCUCCUUCAGUCUCAUGACUUCACACUGAGGUCCUGCCUCCCAGGCUCUGUCCUCCCUUCUUUUCCAGCAUGUCCGUGCACUGGCUGUAGACUCCACACCCUUCAGUAUGGCAACACAACUACUUAAUCCUUAGAGGAUGUGCAGCCAAUCAAGAAACCCUUGGGACAGGAGUUACAGACAUGAACUGCUGUGUGGGUGCUGGGAAAUGAACUCAGGUCUUCUGGAAGAACAGCCUGGCUUCCUGAGUCAUCACUCUAGCCCUUGGAUUAUUUUUCAAGACAUUUCUCAUCUGUGCCUUAAAGAAUACUAGAAUUGUAUCUUAUAAGUAUAUCUUAAAGUGCAUUGUCUCCUGAAAGAAAGGUUUAUUUGCAUACCAAAAUCAAUCGUCUAAAUGUAAUUAAAAUGUUUUUAAUGCAAAAGAGGCGAAUGUGUAUGAAAGUUUUCAUCUGCUUCAUCAUAGUAUUCAAGAAAUUCUGGAGAAUUUCAGAUAUUCAAGAUUGCGGACAUGUAAUCUUUUUGGUUUUCUAAUUUUUGUUUUCUUUCAGGUUUUUUGGGAGGUUUACUUUCUAUAACUGCCAGGUCAGGGAGGGGGGUCUCAAUAUAUUGCCCGUACCUGAACUCCAAGGCACAAGUAAUUCUUUUGCCUCAAGAAUCCCAAAUGAUGAAAUUACAGAAUUGUGAGUUCAUACUGUCUAUGUAUACUUUGAUAAGACUUUGGAUUUAGAGUUUGGCAGAGACAUGGGAUAAGAUAUUUCUAUGAAUUUAGAAAUAUGGAGAGUGGUGGCUGGAGAGAUGGCUCAGCGGUUAAGAGCACUGACAGCUCUUCCAGAGGUCCUGAAUUCAAUUCCCAGCAACCACAUGGUGGCUCACAACCUUCUCUCAUGAGAUCUGAUGCCCUCUUCUGUGAGACAGUGACGGUGUACUCACUUAAAUCUUUAAAAACAAAAAAAAAAAAAAAAAAAAAAAGAAAUCUGGAGAGCAUAGUGAUGUGGAUUGCAUUAUGUUCCAUUAAAACCUAUAUGCUAUGGUAUAGUGGCACAUAUCUGUAAUCUCAGCACUUGGGAGAUAGAAUUAGGAAAAUUAUAAACUCAAGGCCAUUCUUGGAUACAUAUAGUGAGUUUGAGGCCAAGCUGGGCUACAUAAAACCUUGUUUCAAACAAAAGUAGAUAAGCAAAGAAUUUUUUAUAUUUCCCAGUGAGGCCAUAUAGUUGCUAUGGUUGCCCUGACCACAUAAUAUAGACAUUGUCAAGAAAGAAAAAUGGUACAAGUGCAGGGUGUCUGUCUGUCCUCCAAGAACUCAGGAGGCCAGGGCAAGAGGCAGAAAGCUCUCAGGUUGGGAAAUGGCCUGGGUUACAAACUGGGACUGUGUGAGAAAGCAAGUGAGAAGACACUGCAGAGGGAGACGGCUCCGUGGUUAAGAGCACUUGCUGUGCCGGGUAGCACAGACUUUAAUCCCAGGAUGCAGGACACAGAGUCACGCUGAUCUCUGUGAGUUCAAGGCCAGUUCCUAGAGGGACUCUUAACCACCCCCAAACAACAGCAACAGCAGCAGCAACAACAGCAACCAUGACAACAACAAGAAGCCGCUCUUGUUGCUUUUGCCGAAGACCUAGGUUUGGUUCCCAACACCAGCAUGGCAGUUUACAGCCUUCUGUAGCUACAGUUGAAGGGGAUCUGAUCCUUCUUCUGACCUCCAGGGGCACCAACCACACCUGUAAAAUGCACAUAGAUGCAUGUUGGCAAAACACUCACACAUAUCACAUCUUAAAGAGUUAAAAAAAAAAAAGACAAUACAGAUCGGGGAAAACAAUUUGCAAACUCUGUGUCUUACAGUCAGCCUUGAAUAUAUGAAUAAGUCUAAACUCAACAAAAAGACAACCCAAUGUAAAAAUGAGAGAUGAUGCCAGGCAAGUGGUCAAAGUCUGUAAUUCUGGCUAAUGGGCAGGUUGAAACAGGAAGGUCACGAGUUCAAGUCCUAACUCAGCAACUGAGUGAGACCCUGCCUCAAAUUUUCAAACAGAAAAUGAGGACUGAGGGUCCAGCUCUAGUAGAACACUUGACUCAGAGAGACAGAGAGGAAGGGAUGAGGGGAAGGAAUUGAAGAGAUAUUUCUUUAAUGAUAUACAAACAGCAGGAAGAACAUUGAAAGUUGACUGUAUAGUCAUUAAGAAAAUGCAAAUCAUAAUUUUACUAAGAUACCCCAUCAAACUUUUGAGGAUGUCUGAAAGAGAAAGUUUUAAGAAGGAGGGACUGGUUCCCCCCAUAUACUGCUAUUGGAAAUGAAAAUGAUUUUACAAGCAAAGCAUCUUUGUAAAAAUAUGGAAUAAUUCUUUGAAAAUUCAGUUACCACAUGACACAAAAACUCCACUCUUAGUUGUAUAUCAAGGAAUAAAAACGAAUGUCCACUCCAAAUUUGGUACACAGGUUUUUUCUUAGACUGAGUCUUGGCUUUGGUGCCCAUGUUUCUCCUUCUUAAAGGUAAGUGGUAUUCUCAUGGGCUCCAAUCUGGGAGAUCAGACGAGAUCUUGUCCUGCCUUGGGAAGGUGGGGACAACAGAGAGGGCCAGGGCACUGUCUGUGCUCAUGUGGGAGGGGCACAAAGGCAGAAAAAUGCAGUGGGGCACAUUUGGCAAUUGGGAGAAUCUGGUCAGUCAUGGGCAGUCCCCUGCACCCUGGCCUGCUCCCUCCUACUAUCUCUGUCUACUGUAUACACAUAGGAAGGAAACUGGUCCAGGCAAGAAACUGCUGCCUGUCUCACAGUCAGCCUUCCUUCCCAGGCCCCUGUUUGCUCAGUCUGCUUGCCAGAGCACUGAUGAGAACCUGCCCAGAGUAGAGGCCACUUGGGUUUCCCUGAAUCCAUGCAGCCGCUGCCCUCUCUGAAUCCAUGCAGUUGCUGCUCACUCUGAGGCGCUGUGGUGGUUGUCCUGCAGCAGGCCUGGGCUUAUCUCCAGUGAAAAGGCCAUCAGGGUGCAAAGGGCAAGGGGUGGAGCUGUUAAGGCCCAAUUCUGAGAGGAUGCACACUGGACUGAGGACUGGAACAUGGAAAUCCCAAGAUCCAGAACCAGGUGAAAACUAUCCUAGGCUGCCUGUCCUUGUCAGGGGAAGGCAUGCCAUGGGGCACACUGGUGGCAAAAGCUCAGUUUCCUGGGCCUUUCCAUUAUCCAUUCCAUAGCUCCCUUCUGGGCCUGACAUUCCUCUCAGACACAUGGCAAUCAAGGCUGUCUGCUCAUCUGUCAUCCACCCGAUCCCUCACACCUGUUCCAGGCCCAGUCCAUGAGCUGCCCACCCUCACGGAACAGCUAUGAAGAGGGCACAUGGAGGGGUGUGUGUUCAGGAGCCUGGUCACUGAGAGGGACAGCUGUCCUGGACUGCAGCUGCCAGGUGAGGUGGUGGUGGAGAUGGAUGGACCCUGGUGCCCAAGGACUGACUAGCUGAGGUACCUUGAAUCGGGUCCUCCGGCAUGGACCCCCACCUCGAAGUUCAGGGUGACAGUGCCCCCCCCGCUUCAUCUCACUAAUCCUACUUUGUUCUCAGUUACUAAUUCUUUCAUAAUACAGAAUUAUCUCUUUAGUCUCUUUUUUUCUGCCCCAUUGUUCCCAGAAGCACUGGGCUAUGAGUGGAUAUUCAUCCAUCAACAAGUAGGUGUUUUGAAGGGAUCCUAGGGUGGGAGGUGACUGAGGAGUUGGAGUCCAUUUGAGACAGAGGGUUCAAGUUGGGGUCUAGAGCUGAGGGGUAAAGUAUAUACCCCUAUGCACUAUACACACACACACACACAUGUAUGUGUAUAUAUAUAUGUGUGUGUUUAUAUAUAUAUAUAUAUGUUUCUGUGAAUAGAUAUAUGCAUACAUAAUAUAGAUGUAUUAUACUGAGGGACUUGAGUUUUGUCACAGCACCACCCAGAGUUGAGAAGUGUAAUAGCUAUGUACCAGGCCUGGUGUGCGGGUACUGAGUAAGAUUUGUCAAGAGCACGGUUCUUGACCCCAUGGACCUUCCCCUGAACAAGUCACAUGAGCAGGGGCUGCAGAGACAGGAUCAGCUGCCUUUGUGUGUAGCCUGAGAGGCUCUUUGGUAUUGGGUCUUCCCAGCAUGGUGCAUGGGGAUGUCUUUUAAGUACUACAUCUACUGACAUAUAUUAUCUAGUAGUUGAUUUGCUUAUAAACAAACUGAGUGUGGUGGCUCGUGCCUUUAGUGUCUGAGUCCGAGGUCAGAAUGGCCUGAAGAGUGAUUUCCCGAACAACCGAGAACACACGGAGAAGCCUUGUCUCAACCAAACCAAAUAACAAAGGAGCCACAGUUCUUGUUUUCAUGAUUGCAUUGCUAAGGUAAAUAAGGAAUAAAGGGAAUUGAUGUCACUAGGUGGGGCAGCACACACUAGAAUCCCAGCAGAGGCAGAGGCAGAGGCAGUUGGAUUUCUGAGUUCAAGGCCAGCCUAAUCUACAGAGUGAGUUCCAGGAAGGCCGGGACUAAACUGAGAAACCCAGCCUUAAAACCAAAAAAAGAAAAGAAAAAAAGAAAAAAGUGAAUUGAUUUCAAAGGUAUCUAUCACAAGGGCCAGCAAUAUGGCUAAGUGAGCAAAGGUGCUUACCAUUAAGCCUGAUGACUUGAGUUCAACUCCUAGAACACACAUAUUUGAAGGAGAAAAUUUACUCAUGCAAGUUUUCCUCUGACUUAACCAUGCACAUAGUACAACACCACAAAACCUUUGUGUAAGUUGAUAAGUUAGUGCUAAUUAUGCUUUAAGUAAGGUAGCUUGGAAGACAUUAUACACACACACACACACACACACACACACACACACACGAGUCCACAUAUGCAGACAUAAUACAUGUAAUAUAUAUAUAAUAUAUAGAUUUCUAAUAUAUAUAUGAAGUAUCAUCAAAAGAUAAUAAAUUAGGUGCAUGACUUCUGUAAUUCUAGUACUCAGGAGGCUGAAGUCAAAGGAAUGAAGGUUGAGGUCAGCCUGGACUAUAUAGCAAGACCUUAGUUGAAGCAAAGACACCACGAGGGUCUGGUGUGGUUGAUGAGGGUAACACUGGUCAGAGCCCUGUGACCCCAUAUCUGUCAUCUGAGUUUUGUCACCCUAUCUCUGGUUUCAGUCCCUUUCCAGGUCAUUCAGACUCAUGACAAUGUUUUUCUUCUUGCUGAUUGGUGGGCAACAUUUCUGCCCUGUUCUAGUCACAGCAUAACCUAAGCUCACACACUGUCUCUGUGUUUUCAGGCCAGUCUGGCAUACUUGGUCUCCUGGGGUGCUCACACGACUUAGAGAAUGUGGGAGAAAGCCUGCCUGGGUUCAGGUCCCUGCUCACUUCAUUUGUCACAGGAAGACCUUGAGCCGUGGAUGACCCACAUCCUCCAGGACUCACGGUUGCUCUUCCUGCCUUGCUGCACACCCUGCAGCUGUCCUUCCUUCCCCCAGCAUUAUGAUGGUCACAGGGGGAGACUGCCGCUGUUCUGGGUUGGGAAUGGAGAGCGUUUAGUAAGGGGACGGUUUGUCAGAGGCUAAGCAUCGGCUUGGAUGCUGCUGGAAUUGUUUGCUUUCCUUCCUCCUACUGAACGACUCCAUGUGAACCAUGCAUAGCGCAGACACCGCAAACAAUAUCUCUCCUUCUGUGCAUGACUGUGUCCUCGUUCACAUGUUCUUUUCACCCAUAAUGGGAAAGGUUAACACUUCUCAGCAGCCUCUCUCUCUCUCUCUCUCUCUCUCUCUCUCUCUCUCUCUCUCUCCUCUCUCUCUCCGUAAUACAUCUUCCAUGCUACCUUAAUUACAGCAUACUUAACAUCCCCUUAACAGCUUACACAAGAUUUCACUGUAGAAAGGAAGUGCCAAAGGAAAGAAAACUGGUACUUGAGUGUCACUUAGGGCUGUAAGACUGCUCAUCAUUUGUGCCGAACUCCUACCCAGACUUCCUGGGUUCUGCACCAGAGUUGUAGGUCUCAUAACCUGCAUCAGGAUAGGCAGUUCACAGCCUACACUCUGGAUCCUGUGGCACUUCCCUCUGUGCUGUGUGGUAAGUGAAGAAGUCUCACGGAAAAACCAUUCUUCUCCUGGGCAGUGCUAGUACACACAUUAAAUCCAGGCGCUUGGGAGCCCCUCACCUACAGGGCAAAAUCCAGGACAGCCAGGGCUACACAGAGAAACGCCAUCUCAAAUGAACAAGCAAAGAAACAAAGAAGCAAACCCUGAGUCUUUGUUUAUACCAUUGCAUUGCUUAAGGUAAAAUGAAGAAGAAUUGGUGAUGCUGGUCAGUGGUAACUAACACCUUUUAUCUUGGGACUUAGGAGACAGGCUUGUCUACAUGGUAGGUUCCAGGGCAGCCAAACCUAACAGCAGGACCUUGUCUUGGGAAAGCAAGAGCAGACACAGAAUCAGACUUCUGUAAGUCAUUUGUAGGAAAAUGAGUGGAGUUAGAAAUCAUUAAAUAAUGUCAAACAAAAUAAGGUCAACCCAGCGAGGCAAAUGCAUGCUUAAACACUUACACACACACACACACACACACACACACACACACACAUACACACACACACACAUACAAACACACACACACAAACACACACACAAACACACACACACACAAACACACACACAAACACACACACACAAACACACACACAAACACACACACACACACACAAACACACACACACACACACACACACACACACACACACAUGCAGAUAUGUAAAAGAAUUCCUGAAUUGAAAUUCAGAAGAAUGUGUCAGUGAGAUGACUUGGUAUCUGCCCCUGACUCCAAGCCUAUUGAUUCACACAUUAGAAGAAGGGAACCAGUACCCGAUACCCAAAAGUUGCCCUUUGGCUCUCUCAGAUUCAUCUGGCAUGGGUGCACUCAUGCACAUCAAAUAACCUUCCUCCCUGCCCCCGCCAGCGGGCACCUAGUUAUUCAGGGUCCCAAAGAGGCCUUCUACCUGUGUAUCAAUGGGGGUGAAGAGAAGAAGGAGACCAAGCAAAAGUUCUGUUGUCAAGGUCUCAUUUAAUGGGGUGAGCGUUACAGGUUUUAAGGCUUUCAGGUAGGGGGAGUGUCCUUUGUGAAACACAAAGAAUGGAGGGAGGAGGGCAUUCCAGCAAUGAUAGCAGAAGGUGAGGAGGUCAUGCAAUGGAGACGCCAGAGUCUGGUGUUUGCUCAGGCUGAAACAUCCUGUGAAUGUUAUCUUUCUGUGCCAUAAAUUCAUGGGAGAGGAUUUUUGUCCAACAAUCUCAAGACUUUAUGGCAGUCAUUUCAAGGUUGAACCUCUGUGGCCAUGCAGCCAAGAGUCAUGUAGCCACUUUGAGCCAUAGUCACAAAGCGGCCAGGCCCAAAUCCAAUAUGGCUCCCUACACCUCCCAAAACUAAAGAGCCAAAAAGGGGUGACCUUCUGGAAAUGUUUACCAAGUUUAUUAUCACACGCACUUGGAGGACAUCUGCCAUGGUCUGUGGGGACCCAGCUAUCUCUUGAGUUAGCCACAGAACUGGCUAUUAUCUAUGUGUUUGCUGAAGGCACAAGUUACAGGGACAUGGACUUACAUCAGGGUUCAAGAAAAAUCCUGUGGGGCCACACAGUGUGUGGAAGGGUUGGAUUCUCUGAUGCAUGAAGAAGGUCUAGGUUGCAGUAGAAGCCUCUGGACAUUGAAACUGCUGGAGAUGUGAGAAGUGAGAGAAAGCUGUAGGUACGCAGGAGAGUCUGCUCAUGGGAGAGGCCGUAACUGCAAAUGGCAGAACCGUGGAGGCUAGAAAGCCUAAACUCUUGCACCUCAGAUAUCUCCUUAUCCCUGGAUAUCAGAUGUGGAGCUGUAGAAUCUCAUGAUUAUGCAUGAGUCCUAUGGAAGAACCCGUUAAUAUCCCAAUGGUAUGGCCCUGAUCCGGUCCUCAUUUGGGGAUGUAGAUCAGCCUGCAUUGAUGAUUCAAAGACUGGGUGUGCCCAUUGGCUACCCCAGCGCCUUGUUAAGACCUUUAACCCACCCAGGGACAACCCUGAGGAAAAGUUUAACUAUGCUUAAUUACAGACAUUUCAAGGUUGAACCUCUGUGGCCAUGUUCCCCUACAUCUGGAAUCUUGGAAGCAUCAUCCCGACUGCCCUUGCUACAUCGCCUCACCAGAUCUUCAACUAUACUUGGGUGAUUCUUAAUGGCGCUGGAGAUGUGGUGUCUGCCAACUCCACCACUGCUGCACGAGUUCGCUGGCCCAAACUUGAGGUAGAUCUUUGCAAAUUAGUGCUAGGAGCUUACCUUGAUUGGAGCACAUGACAUCUUUGCCCCCCCCUGCCCUGAGCUGGCAGACCCCAGUACUGACCCGGGUUGCAGUAAUACACUCAGAAGAGCCACAUUGGCCCUUCAAAUUGGGGGGAUUUAUUUAUGCCCUGCUGACCACAGAGAUCAUACAAAGGCCAGAGGCUGUGGGUAUGAAACUGAUUUCUACUGUGCCUCCUGGGGCUGUGAGACCACUGGAGACACGUACUGGAAACCCAGCUCUUCCUGGGAUUACAUCACAGCUAAAAGAAAAUUCUCCAAUGCCUGGGUCACCAGUCUGGGCCGACAGCCCCUCAAUAACAUAUGCCCUACUGACUCGGACCUGAAUGGGUGGUGUAAUCCUAUCCAGAUCUCUUUUACAGAAACAGGGAAAAGGAUAAACUGGGAAUAGUGAGGUUUCAAGUGGGGACUUCACUUAUAUAAACAAUAUAGAGACUUUGGCCUCACCCUAAAAAUUAAAUUUCAAAAAACCCGGCCACAACCACCACCAGUGGCCAUAGGGACCAAUACACCUGCACCCAAGGUUGGGUCACAUUCGAGAGAUUCUGUACAGGUUACACAUCAACCCAACAAUUCAUCAUUUCCCUUUAUCAACCCACAUUCCCUGAUGGGCCCCCCUGUACUGUCAAUAUGCUCAUAGAAAUGCUUAAUAGCUCCUUACCAGCCCUCGCCAAUAUUAAUUCUACUAUAGCCCUAGAUUAUUGCUAGAUCUGUUAUCACUCCUCCCCUCCCUUUUACGAGGGACUAGCAACCUUUGGAAACCUCACCUUUACUAAUGAGACCCAUUCCCUACACCAGUCAGCAAACUCUGAACCAAAAAUAAUGCUCUCACAGGUCGCUGGAAUUGGCCUCUGUCUAUUAGGACCCCAUGUGAUUCGGCCCUCCCCCCUGACACUUACUUGCAAUGAGAUAGUGGUGGUUACCACGAAGACCAACUCCAUUGCUGGCCCUAAGGGCACUCAUUUUGCCUGCUCAGCAGGCUUAACACCUUUUGUGGUAACAUCUACCUUUUUGACAGAAAAAGAUUAUUGUGUCCUUGUCCUCCUUUUUCACGAUUAACUAUUCAUGACUCCUCUAAGUUCCUGCAGUUCUGGGAAAGAGGCACCUCCACGCGUACGAAGAGAGAACCCAUCACCACCGUGACUCUGGCAGUACUCCUAGGUCUGUCAGCUGUGGGGACAGGAACCAGGGUUGCCUCCCUGAUCACCUCCCAACAAAAUUAUCAUCAGCUCAGUGCCACCAUAGACAGGGGUAUCAGUGAGCUUCAACAAGGAAUAACCUCUCUUAAAGAUUCAGUCGCUUUCUUGGCUGAGGUUGUUCUACAAAAUAGAAAGGGAUUAGAUCUUCUCUUUCUUCAACAGGGAGGGCUCUGUGUGGCCCUCAAGGAGGAGUGUUGCUUUUAUGCUGAUAAGACGGGAUUAGUAGAAAACAGCCUACAAAAGGUUAGAGAAAGUCUACAAAAGAGACAAAGAGAAAGAGAAGAGAGUGAAGCCUGGUAUAAAAACUGGUUUUCUGCCUCUCUCCUGCUCACCACUCUUCUACCCAGUAUCCUGGGUCCCUUUAUAGGACUCCUGCUGCUCGUCUCCUUUGGCUCAUGGGUGCUUAGAAAGUUAACUGAUUUUAUCAAGGCCCAGGUGGAUUCAGCUACCAAGCAGGUGUCGGUCCAUUACCACUGCCUCCGUUGAGAGGAGGCUGAGACAACCGGGGAGUGUGAUACUCCCCUUGGGUCGCCCACGGCUGGCCUCGACUUCUCCACCCUAAAUACAGCCUAUAACUCAGGCUGGAAAAUCAGUUGCUGGUGGAAGUGUCAAUGAUGGGAAUAUUAUGGUGCCACAUACCAGGCACACACCUCACCGCUGUGAAGUGACCCUAUGAUGGGAUUAGCACAGGUCCAUGAUCUGUGUCGCCCACUCCCACAAAACACACACGUAUAGCCCAGAAUGGUGUAUUUAGGCAUAAGAUCGUUCCUAGCCAUUGGGGUGCAGUUCUAACUGCAAGAGUGGCUCACCAUAGCCGAGCUGGGCACUCUGUAAGGCAUGUCUGAUCUAUCUCAGAUCACUACUUCCCCCCUGGUGGAAAUAAUGGAACUUAAGUGAGAGUGCCGGACAUGGGGGCAACCUGUGUAGCCUAAGACACGGGGUUUCACUGACCAGGUGCUGGAUGCACAUACCCCAGACCUUCCUCCCACUGAUAGUUUAAGAAAGGCGGAGAUGUCCGGGACCAGACUGCUGGACUAGGCAAAGCUAGAGCCCUGCCCUGGGCAGAUUCCUGAGAAGGGCUUGAACAGGUUCCCGGAAGACUGUUGCCUCAUUAUCUAAGAAGACUAUCUUGCAGUUUAGAGAUUCACCUUAUGUCCUUGGGCACUCCCCAGUUCUCCCCACCCCAGCCCACCCUAAGCUUUAGUUCCUGCUUCAGGGCUUUAAAUGCUGUACACUCCUCCUAAUAAACAGACCUUGACAAGGACA
Molecule: non-coding RNA, 17966 nt
Organism: Rattus norvegicus (Norway rat)
Lineage: Eukaryota; Metazoa; Chordata; Mammalia; Rodentia; Muridae
Source: RefSeq, a predicted model, not a curated record